GACGACCGCUGGCGGCGUGCUUAACACAUGCACGUCGAACGGAAAGGCCCUGCUUUUGUGGGGUGCUCGAGUGGCGAACGGGUGAGUUACCCGUGAGUAACUUGCCCUUGACUUCGGGAUAACUUCAGGAAACUGGGGCUAAUAACGGGUAGGAGCUCCUGCUGCAUGGUGGGGGUUGGAAAGUUUAGGCGGUUGGGGAUGGACUCGCGGCUUAUCAGCUUGUUGGUGGGGUAGUGGCCUACCAAGGCUUUGACGGGUAGCCGGCCUGAGGGGGUGACCGGCCACAUUGGGACUGGGAUACGGCCCAGACUCCUCCGGGAGGCAGCAGUGGGGAAUAUUGCACAAUGGGCGGAAGCCUGAUGCAGCAACGCCGCGUGCGGGAUGACGGCCUUCGGGUUGUAAACCGCUUGCGCCUGUGACGAAGCGUGAGUGACGGUAAUGGGUAAAGAAGCACCGGCUAACUACGUG
This 468-nucleotide ribosomal RNA is filed under the name uncultured bacterium. RNAcentral's name for it is "partial 16S ribosomal RNA". It matches the Rfam family "Bacterial small subunit ribosomal RNA", at positions 28 to 507 of the family's 1533-position model. The record is from RNAcentral.